UCCAAACUCCAUCGGUCCUAAAAUUCUUGUCUUAGAUUUGUUUAAAUACGGAUGUAUCAAGUCACAUUUUAGUAUUAGAUACAUCCGUAUCUAGACAAAUAUAAGACAAGAAUUUUGGGACGGAGAGAGUACAAA
This is a non-coding RNA of Triticum aestivum (bread wheat), 135 nucleotides long. The record is from Rfam. NCBI's taxonomy places the organism in Eukaryota, Viridiplantae, Streptophyta, Magnoliopsida, Poales, Poaceae.